GUACCGUGAGGGAAAGGUGAAAAGCACCCCGGAAGGGGAGUGAAACAGUUCCUGAAACCGUGUGCCUACAAGUAGUUAGAGCCCGUUAAUGGGUGAUAGCGUGCCUUUUGUAGAAUGAACCGGCGAGUUACGAUUUGUUGCAAGGUUAAGCGGAAAAAGCGGAGCCGUAGCGAAAGCGAGUCUGAAUAGGGCGCAUAAGUAACAGGUCGUAGACCCGAAACCAGGUGAUCUACCCAUGUCCAGGAUGAAGGUAAGGUAAUACUUACUGGAGGUCCGAACCCACGCACGUUGAAAAGUGCGGGGAUGAGGUGUGGGUAGCGGAGAAAUUCCAAUCGAACUUGGAGAUAGCUGGUUCUCUCCGAAAUAGCUUUAGGGCUAGCCUCGAGGUAAAGAGUCAUGGAGGUAGAGCACUGUUUGGACUAGGGGCCCUUCUCGGGUUACCGAAUUCAGAUAAACUCCGAAUGCCAUGUACUUAUACUCGGGAGUCAGACUGCGAGUGAUAAGAUCCGUAGUCGAAAGGGAAACAGCCCAGACCACCAGUUAAGGUCCCCAAAUAUAUGUUAAGUGGAAAAGGAUGUGGGGUUGCUUAGACAACCAGGAUGUUGGCUUAGAAGCAGCCACCAUUGAAAGAGUGCGUAAUAGCUCACUGGUCGAGUGACCCCGCGCCGAAAAUGUACCGGGGCUAAACAUAUUACCGAAACUGUGGAUGAACCUCUUUAGAGGUUCGUGGUAGGAGAGCGUUCUAAGGGCGGUGAAGUCAGACCGGAAGGACUGGUGGAGCGCUUAGAAGUGAGAAUGCCGGUAUGAGUAGCGAAAGAAGGGUGAGAAUCCCUUCCACCGAAUAUCUAAGGUUU
Molecule: ribosomal RNA, 854 nt
Filed under: Listeria monocytogenes
Lineage: Bacteria; Bacillati; Bacillota; Bacilli; Caryophanales; Listeriaceae
Description: bacterial LSU rRNA
Rfam family: Bacterial large subunit ribosomal RNA
Source: RNAcentral